UGCAAUGACGUCUCCCUCCGCCGCCUCCGGAUCCCUCCGCCCUCCGCCGCUACCACAGUGUAUAGAGACAACAUUACCCAAGAGGUCAUGGCAGAAUCAACAGCUUGUUUUGUUUUCUUUAAACCGGGACCAAAAAUAAUUCCCCUCUGGUUGGUUCAGUGGCUUAUUAACUCUGGUACUUGGGGCAAGAAGAGUGAGAGGAUCGCACGAUCUUCUAAGGCAGCCUUGAAUACUGAGGCCCACACAACAAUCUCCUGAAAUGGUUCCUUGAAGCUACCAGAUAGUCUUUCUGCUUUGCAGUGGGGUUUCUAGUAUUGGAAAUUCUGGGCAAAUAUUAAAGGAUGGUGUAUUAUGCAG
This 357-nucleotide long non-coding RNA is filed under the name Homo sapiens (human). Its description in RNAcentral is "HSALNT0094635". The record is from RNAcentral. Lineage: Eukaryota; Metazoa; Chordata; Mammalia; Primates; Hominidae.